GUCUAUCUGACGAGUCCCAAAUAGGACGAAACGCGCGUCGUGGAU
RNAcentral lists this non-coding RNA (45 nucleotides) under Schistosoma mansoni. The record is from RNAcentral. Lineage: Eukaryota; Metazoa; Platyhelminthes; Trematoda; Strigeidida; Schistosomatidae.